This 219-nucleotide ribosomal RNA is filed under the name uncultured bacterium. RNAcentral describes it as "partial 16S ribosomal RNA". It matches the Rfam family "Bacterial small subunit ribosomal RNA", at positions 1284 to 1500 of the family's 1533-position model. The record is from RNAcentral.
GGUCUCAGUUCGGAUCGCAGUCUGCAACUCGACUGCGUGAAGGUGGAGUCGCUAGUAAUCGCGGAUCAGCAACGCCGCGGUGAAUGCGUUCCCGGGCCUUGUACACACCGCCCGUCAAGUCAUGAAAGUGGGCAGCACCCGAAGACGGUGGCCUAACCCUUGUGGGGGGAGCCGUCUAAGGUGAGGCUCGUGAUUGGGACUAAGUCGUAACAAGGUACC